AGAGCUUAUAUUCCUUCAUGACUAUUACAUGUUCUCUCUUACAUCAGUAGAUUCAAAUCUAACGGAUUGCAAUAGUAGGCCAAUGUGAGUAUGACACAUGGCAUUACACAGCUGUCCUAACAGCUGGGAAUUCAAAACAGACUCAAGCAAUGCACCUGGCAUAUAAGCACAAGGCACAUAGCUAACACAGAUUAAAAACAGAUUGAAUAUAAACUGACAUAAAACUUAGUAACUAA
RNAcentral lists this long non-coding RNA (236 nucleotides) under Prunus persica (peach). RNAcentral describes it as "long non-coding RNA (PPER_LNC001966)". Lineage: Eukaryota; Viridiplantae; Streptophyta; Magnoliopsida; Rosales; Rosaceae. The record is from RNAcentral.